RNAcentral lists this ribosomal RNA (253 nucleotides) under uncultured bacterium. Its description in RNAcentral is "partial 16S ribosomal RNA". It matches the Rfam family "Bacterial small subunit ribosomal RNA", at positions 524 to 776 of the family's 1533-position model. The record is from RNAcentral.
UACGAGGGGGGCUAGCGUUGCUCGGAAUCACUGGGCGUAAAGGGUGCGUAGGCGGGUUCUUAAGUCAGAGGUGAAAUCCUGGAGCUCAACUCCAGAACUGCCUUUGAUACUGAGAGUCUUGAGUUCGGGAGAGGUGAGUGGAACUGCGAGUGUAGAGGUGAAAUUCGUAGAUAUUCGCAAGAACACCAGUGGCGAAGGCGGCUCACUGGCCCGAUACUGACGCUGAGGCACGAAAGCGUGGGGAGCAAACAGG